UGUUACUUGUCGGUAAAGCCAGCGAUACAAACAAACUACUGACCCAUUAGCGGUGAUGCGGUACUGAUCGAACAAACGAUCUUGUGAACAAGGAAUCAGUAAUUAAAUCUGCCUUUUAUAAACUGUACGUGCGAAGACUACAGAGAUGGGUACGCAUAAACCCAGAGCGAUACUGGGUUCGGCAAAAUUCGAAAAAUAAGAUGCUGUUAUUCGCAGCUGGCCGUGGAUGGUGUUCUUACUCAAAGUCGGUGCGCACGCUCGGGGCAAGCUGCUCGAGUUUGGUUUCGU
This is an RNA transcript of Varroa destructor (honeybee mite), 288 nucleotides long. RefSeq lists it as uncharacterized. NCBI's taxonomy places the organism in Eukaryota, Metazoa, Arthropoda, Arachnida, Mesostigmata, Varroidae. The record is from RefSeq and is a predicted model, not a curated record.